This 405-nucleotide ribosomal RNA is filed under the name uncultured bacterium. RNAcentral's name for it is "partial 16S ribosomal RNA". It matches the Rfam family "Bacterial small subunit ribosomal RNA", at positions 30 to 526 of the family's 1533-position model. The record is from RNAcentral.
AUUGAACGCUAGCGGGAUGCUUAACACAUGCAAGUCGAACGAGUGGCGGACGGGUGAGUAAUAUAUCGGAACGUGCCCAGUAGCGGGGGAUAACUACUCGAAAGAGUAGCUAAUACCGCAUACUAUUGGAUCUGCCGAUAUGGGAUUAGCUAGUUGGUGGGGUAAAGGCUCACCAAGGCCACGAUCCGUAGCUGGUUUGAGAGGACGACCAGCCACACUGGGACUGAGAAACGGCCCAGACUCCUACGGGAGGCAGCAGUGGGGAAUAUUGGACAAUGGGGUAAAGCCUGAUCCAGCCAUGCCGCGUGUAUGAGAAGGCCUUCGGGUUGUAAAGUACUUUUGGCAGAGAAGCGGUAUUUGCAGAAUAAGCACCGGCUAACUACGUGCCAGCAGCCGCGGUAAUUC